CUACGCACUCCUACGGGAGCAGCAGUGGGGAAUAUUGCACAAUGGGCGCAAGCCUGAUGCAGCCAUGCCGCGUGUAUGAAGAAGGCCUUCGGGUUGUAAAGUAUUUCAGCAGUGAGGAAGGUGGAUAUGUUAAUAGCAUAUUCAUUUGACGUUAGCUGCAGAAGAAGCACCGGCUAACUCCGUGCCAGCAGCCGCGGUAAUACGGAGGGUGCGAGCGUUAAUCGGAAUUACUGGGCGUAAAGCGCAUGCAGGUGGUUUGUUAAGUCAGAUGUGAAAGCCCGGGGCUCAACCUCGGAAUUGCAUUUGAAACUGGCAAACUAGAGUACUGUAGAGGGGGUAGAAUUUCAGGUGUAGCGGUGAAAUGCGUAGAGAUCUGAAGGAAUACCGGUGGCGAAGGCGGCCCCCUGGACAGAUACUGACACUCAGAUGCGAAAGCGUGGGGAGCAAACAGGAUUAGAUACCCUGGUAG
This 469-nucleotide ribosomal RNA is filed under the name uncultured bacterium. RNAcentral's name for it is "bacterial SSU rRNA". It matches the Rfam family "Bacterial small subunit ribosomal RNA", at positions 329 to 793 of the family's 1533-position model. The record is from RNAcentral.